Long non-coding RNA from Monomorium pharaonis (pharaoh ant), 1519 nucleotides. RefSeq lists it as uncharacterized. The record is from RefSeq and is a predicted model, not a curated record. The transcript is spliced from 2 exons. NCBI's taxonomy places the organism in Eukaryota, Metazoa, Arthropoda, Insecta, Hymenoptera, Formicidae.
UUUAAGAAAGAUAAAAAAAUAAUGCGCGUUGAAAACAUUUCUUAAUACCUUAAUGAAUUAAUUAAUUUUUUAAUUAUUCCCAGUACGCAGCAUUUUUCUAAGAAAAAAACAAUAAAUAUGAGAAAUCCAGGUACCCAGCUAUGAUUUUUCAAAUCACAAUAAUCUUAUUUAUUCAUAUACUAAUUCAUAUAAUAUAUAUUCUAUUUAUUGUAAGUAUUGUAACAUACAAAAUAUCCAGAAAUUUGCGAAUCAAAAUAUUAAAGCAAGAACAUUCUCGAAAAAUAAAAUAAAUAUUUAUAAGUUUUUUUGUAAGCAGCAGAUUUUGAGAUAUAUAAGCUUAAAGCUAUAGAUAUAAUAGAGAUUAUUACACAUUUAGACAGUUGUACUUAUCAUGUAAUAACUAAUGCUAACGCGUGACUCACAAACUGUUUGUGACUGAUAAAUAAAGUUUGUGAUUAGCUACAACUUUAAAUCCUCAUAUUUCGAAAACUGUUUGAUACAAAAAUUGACAAGUAACUAUUUUGCUUACUUUUUCGACUAUAUUUCCUGCAAUAUUUUGAUUCGCAAUUUCAGGACACUCGGUAUGUGUGUGAGUUGUUUUUCUAUCUCUUUCGUAUACUUUUCCAUCACUCUAUCUCUUUUGUUACAAGUUCACGGACGCGAGCGGAUCACGAGGACGCAUUCAAUUUGUUUGUGAGCUCGCGACAUUUGCGAAUUGGCGCGUUCGACAAUACCAGCAAAUUAUGCAGCUGCAUGUCCCGCGUGUGUGUAUGCGCGCGCGUGUGCGUGUUAUUAUAUGCAGCUCGCGCCGCAUGCCAUUUGCGCUCGCGUCGCGAACAUGUGCGUGCCGCGUUAAUUACGUCGGAUCGUUAAGUCACGAAGACAGAAGCGAGAGAGGAGUAACGCGAAAAGAAUGUCGACUUAUCAGUCAGAGGUCCUCGACCUCAAUGAGGCUCAAUGAGGCUCGUGACAUCGUCAAACGCUGGAGGAUCUCAUCGACUUCUGGCCAAUCGAUGACGAAACAAUAUCACCCGAAUUCGUGAAGGUCUUAAAAGCGGCCCGUCUAUGCUACAAAGCGAGAUAAGCGAGUCCAUUUAUAUACGGCAGAGGCACCUUCUAUUCGUAAACAGUCAGUACCGUCGAUAGAAAGCCGCAACAGAAUCGAAUAUUCCCGUGUACACGUGUACAUCUGCAUAUUUAUCGGGGGCGCAGUAAUGCACCAGUUGAUAACGACAGAUGCGCCCUUGCUGUCGAGGCAAGGCCGACGUUGAAUGAAAUUCCUUCGUGCAAUUCGAAUUAUGUGGGAAAUUCUCGUCAAGUAAACUAUACGUUUACGUUCAUAAAUUUAAAUUAAAAAUGGAACACUGCGUCCCCGCAAACGCGUAUGCGUGUAAUUAAAAUUUCACGGAUUUGUUUAUUUACCACGAAAUAUUUAUCUGUAUUCGAAGCGUUAUUAUAUAUUCAUUGUAAUAUAAAUUGUAAUACAACAUUAAUAAGACAUCAUUAUACAUUUUUGUUA